Molecule: long non-coding RNA, 1162 nt
Organism: Corapipo altera (White-ruffed manakin)
Lineage: Eukaryota; Metazoa; Chordata; Aves; Passeriformes; Pipridae
Exons: 7
Source: RefSeq, a predicted model, not a curated record
GCUCCCCGCAGGCUGCCUGCGAAGGGAGCACGGAGUGAAGCUCUCCAAGAAUAAGGCAAGGAUGAUAACUUCUGUGCAGUUUGGAGUAAUAGGACAGGAUUGGAAUGCACCUUGAGACGUGUAUGACUACAUGUCUGAUAGUACAUUCAAAGUAUACCUUCAGUAAAGAAUACAAGAGCCCAGGUUAAAAUGAGUAGUAGAACUCAACUCUUCAAACAGUACAAAGCUACAAGCAAAAGUAAAAUAUUACUUCAUCACAGUAACAAUGCCAAGUACUUCUCUUCAUAAGGACUGUGUCAGUAGCACACAAAUCCAGACAACACAAUCAGCAGAAAGGAGACAGUGAAGCUGGGCUGUGUUCCAGAGCAUCUACCCACCUUUUUCAUAUUCCCACCGAGCAGUGAGUAAGGAGGUUUGUUGACAUGGUUCCAGUCAACCGGCACACGAGUCAUAUCAUACAAUUGGAAGAUGAUUAAAGCAUCAGAAAGGUCACUAAACCAGAGGAAAACAACGUUCUAAGCACAAAAGCUCAUAUUGACAAUGAAACAAAGAAGCACACUUAAGAAAAUAUUUUGCCUGAAUAUGUGAGUUUGGAAUAACCUCAUCACUUCAUUCCCACAGUUAAGAAAAUAGAGAGAACACUGAGGAGGGAGAAAACCUCCCCAAACAAUGAAAGAACAGAUUUCUCUGGACUGAAGCACAAAUACCUAAAAAGCAUAAAGAAGAAAGUGCUUUUCAGUGAACAGGAGCAGGACAGACAAUUCUUACAGCAGAAAUGUGAAAACACGCAGGCAGGAAAUGGAGAAAAAGAAGGAAUGCAGAUGGUGAAAACCCAACCAAACAGAAAAGCAGUUAGACAACACCACUGGAGAAAAAAGGAGGGUCCUCUACAGUACAUGGCAAAAGCAACUGGCAGCAUUUCAAAACCCGUCUCUGCAGAGUGCACAGAUGCAGAAGUGCUACCUGUUUGCCAGUUCAGAGCCUUAAGGAGCUAUGUUUGCACAAGUGCUGAGGAUAAAAGCAGCACAGUAGUGAAUCUGAGUAACUAAAGCUAAACAGGGUAUUGUUCGUUAGUACCUUCCAAACUAGAGGACUAUCUGGGGCAUGCAUGAAGUUCAUUUGCUGGCACUGUAGUUCUUAAUAAUUACACCAGAAUAAAACA